RNAcentral lists this ribosomal RNA (253 nucleotides) under uncultured bacterium. RNAcentral describes it as "partial 16S ribosomal RNA". It matches the Rfam family "Bacterial small subunit ribosomal RNA", at positions 524 to 776 of the family's 1533-position model. The record is from RNAcentral.
UACGUAGGGUGCGAGCGUUAAUCGGAAUUACUGGGCGUAAAGCGUGCGCAGGCGGUUCGUUGUGUCGGUGGUGAAAUCCCCGGGCUUAACCUGGGAAUUGCGCUUGAAACUAGCGGGCUUGAGUGUGGCAGAGGGGGGUGGAAUUCCACGUGUAGCAGUGAAAUGCGUAGAGAUGUGGAGGAACACCGAUGGCGAAGGCAGCCCCCUGGGUCAACACUGACGCUCAUGCACGAAAGCGUGGGGAGCAAACAGG